This 328-nucleotide transfer-messenger RNA is filed under the name Rhodospirillales bacterium RIFCSPLOWO2_12_FULL_67_15. It matches the Rfam family "Alphaproteobacteria transfer-messenger RNA". From Rfam's summary of the family: Bacterial tmRNA, also known as 10Sa RNA or SsrA, is named for its dual tRNA and mRNA-like properties. Lineage: Bacteria; Pseudomonadati; Pseudomonadota; Alphaproteobacteria; Rhodospirillales. The record is from RNAcentral.
GCCCUUGCCGCCCCGCCUGCCCCGAGCCUAUAUUUUCCGUGCCGGGCAACCGGCUAUGGCGAUAAAUGCCCUGUGGAAUAGGCGUGACGGACCCGGGGGCAGUACCCGGCGCCUCCACCAUUUCCCGUCCCUCGCGAGCGAUUCCCGGGGACGGGCCUUAAGGGGGCGAACUAGGCUCGACGUGCGCGGUAAAGGCAGGACUUUCGCCCGGUAUGGUUCCGCCGUGACGGGCCAACGACAAAUGCCAACGACAACGUUGCAUUUGCUGCUGCCGCUUAAUCAGCGGUAACGGGGUUCGGGGGGCACCUGGCAACAGAAGCCCCCCACU